AGUGAACGCUGGCGGUAGGCCUAACACAUGCAAGUCGAACGGCAGCACAGUAAGAGCUUGCUCUUACGGGUGGCGAGUGGCGGACGGGUGAGGAAUACAUCGGAAUCUACUUUUUCGUGGGGGAUGACGUAGGGAAACUUACGCUAAUACCGCAUACGACCUACGGGUGAAAGCAGGGGAUCUUCGGACCUUGCGCGAUUGAAUGAGCCGAUGUCGGAUUAGCUAGUUGGCGGGGUAAAGGCCCACCAAGGCGACGAUCCGUAGCUGGUCUGAGAGGAUGAUCAGCCACACUGGAACUGAGACACGGUCCAGACUCCUACGGGAGGCAGCAGUGGGGAAUAUUGGACAAUGGGCGCAAGCCUGAUCCAGCCAUACCGCGUGGGUGAAGAAGGCCUUCGGGUUGUAAAGCCCUUUUGUUGGGAAAGAAAAGCAGCAGGUUAAUACCCCGCUGUUCUGACGGUACCCAAAGAGUAAGCACCGGCUAACUUCGUG
RNAcentral lists this ribosomal RNA (492 nucleotides) under uncultured bacterium. RNAcentral's name for it is "partial 16S ribosomal RNA". It matches the Rfam family "Bacterial small subunit ribosomal RNA", at positions 29 to 507 of the family's 1533-position model. The record is from RNAcentral.